AUUCCGGUUGAUCCUGCCGGAGGGUACUGCUAUUCGGAUUCGACUAAAACAUGCGAGCCGAGAGUCUUAGGGACUCGGCGUACUGCUCAGUAAUAUGUAGCUAACUUGCCCUAGGCUCAGGGAUAAAGUCGGGAAACUGACUCUAAUACCUGAUAGGUAUCCUGGUCUGGAAUGAUAGGAUACCCAAAGUUCAGGCGGCCUAGGAUAGGACUACAUCUUAUCAGCCUGUUGGGGGUGUAACGGACCCCCAAAGCUAUAACGGGUACGGGCCAUGAGAGUGGAAGCCCGGAGAUGGAUUCUGAGACAUGAAUCCAGGUCCUACGGGACGCAGCAGUUGCGAAACCUUUACAAUGUGUUAGCGCACGAUAAGGGAAUCCGAAGUGCUGCAGUUAAACUGCAGCUUUUGUCAAGUCCAAACAGCUUGGCGAAUAAGGGGUGGGUAAGACAGGUGCCAGCCGCCGCGGUAAUACCUGCGCCCCGAGUGGUGCCCAGUAUUAUUUGGCCUAAAGCGUCCGUAGCUGGUCUUGUAAGUCCCUAGUGAAAUUCACUGGUUAACUGGUGAGCGUGUUGGGGAUACUGCGAGACUUGGGACUGGGAGAGGGUAGAGGUACUCCUGGGGAAGGGGUAAAAUCCUAUAAUCCGAGGGGGACCACCUGUGGCGAAGGCGUCUACCUAGAACAGGUCCGACAGUGAGGGACGAAAGCUAGGGGAGCGAUCGGGAUUAGAUACCCCGGUAGUCCUAGCCGUAAACUAUGCCCACUUGGUGUUAAAAACCUUAAGAGGGUUUUUAGUGCCGUAGCGGAGGUGUUAAGUGGGCCGCCUGGGGACUACGACCGCAAGGUUAAAACUUAAGGGAAUUGGCGGGGGACCACACAAGGAGUGAAGACUGCGGUUCAAUCGGAUCCAACGCCGUGAAUCUCACGGGGAUCGACAGCAGAAUGAAGGUCAGUUUGAAGGGCUUACCUAACAAGCUGAGAAGUGUUGCAUGGCCAUCGUCAGCUCGUACCGUGAGGCGUGCGCUUAAGUGCGUUAACGAGCGAGACCCGCAUCUUAUGUUGCUAAGCCGGUGAGGCAGCACUCAUAAGAGACUGCUGGUGAUGAAUCAGAGGAGGGAGCGGGCGACGGUAGACAUCAAGACAGCUGGUCAGUAAAAAUAAAUUCAAGUAGGUCAGUAAAUUUAGUAUGCCCAAGAUUCAAUUUCGAAAUAAAGAUUUGGAGCUUUUGUUUUUUGACCUUAAAGAGAAAACUAGUGACUUUGCAAAUAUUGAACCUGAAGUGAUACAACAAGAUCCGAAAAAAUUACUAAUAAUUAGACUUGCAUUGGGAAUGUCUCAAAAUGAAUUCGAAAGGAUUGUGAGCAAAGGGAACAAAAACAUCUCAAAAUACGAGACAGGAAAAAUAAAAAGGAUGAACUACGAGACAGCGAAACGCAUGUUAGAUGGUUUGAAUUCGAAAAUCCCACAGUUUGACUUAGAUAGAAUUUUGAGCAAUUUCCAAAUUUCUAAAGACGAGUCUAAUGGUUGGUUCAAAGUCCAUACAAAAACAGAAAAGGCGCUAAAAGCACGAAGAAAAGGCGUCAUAAGAAGCCUAAGAAGUCGCCUUACAAGACAAGAAAGUAGGGUAGCUAAGGAUUUAAAAAGAGUGAAGUUGGACUUUGAGAGUAAUUUUCCAGUGACAGAAUCUACUAUAGUGGACUUUUACAUCGAAACAAAAGAUUUGGUUAUAGAAUGUAAAGAGGUAAAGUCCAAAAGCAGGAGGGAAUUCAAAGAACAAGUCCAAAAAUUGGCGUAUCAAGGCUACAAGACAAAAUUCAAAAAGCCAAAAAUGAAGCUGUGGGCCUUGAUAGAAAGUAAACACGAAAUUUCCGAAAUUGAGUUGGGAGAACUAAAAGGGCCUUUUGAUGAAGUCUUUACAAAUAGUAAAGAUUUGAUUAAGAUGCUAUCUUGAUGGCCGAUGUCGGUAUGGCCUGAAUUUCCCCGGCUACACGCGGUCUGCAAUGCGCAAGCCAAUGGGCUGCAACACCGAAAGGUGAAGCUAAUCUCUUAAACUUGCGCUCAGUUCGGAUUGAGGUUUGUAACUCAGCCUCAUGAAGCUGGAAUUCCUAGUAGACAAACGUCAUCAUCGUUCGUCGAAUACGUCCCUGGUCCUUGCACACACCGCCCGUCAAGCCAUCCGAGUGGGGUUCAAAUGAGCCGUUCUCCUCGUGUGAAUGUCGAAUUUGGGUCCUGCAAGGGGGGCUAAGUCGCAACUUCAAGAAGUCGCAAAACUUAGCUCGU
This is a non-coding RNA of Candidatus Micrarchaeota archaeon RBG_16_49_10, 2276 nucleotides long. The record is from Rfam. NCBI's taxonomy places the organism in Archaea, Nanobdellati, Microcaldota.